AGUUGCAUUACAGGGUGAGUUCUCCAUUGGCAGGUAGCUAGCCACUAUGAAUCAUCAUUAGUGUGCAAUCUGCCAAAGGAGAUUUGCCCAGUAAUUCUGCU
RNAcentral lists this microRNA precursor (101 nucleotides) under Trifolium pratense (red clover). Its description in RNAcentral is "pre miRNA mir-399". It matches the Rfam family "mir-399 microRNA precursor family". Rfam says of the family: mir-399 was identified in both Arabidopsis thaliana and Oryza sativa computationally and was later experimentally verified. mir-399 is thought to target mRNAs coding for a phosphatase transporter. The record is from RNAcentral. Lineage: Eukaryota; Viridiplantae; Streptophyta; Magnoliopsida; Fabales; Fabaceae.